Molecule: ribosomal RNA, 465 nt
Filed under: uncultured Pseudoxanthomonas sp.
Lineage: Bacteria; Pseudomonadati; Pseudomonadota; Gammaproteobacteria; Lysobacterales; Lysobacteraceae
Description: partial 16S ribosomal RNA
Source: RNAcentral
GACUACAGGGGUAUCUAAUCCUGUUUGCUCCCCACGCUUUCGUGCCUCAGUGUCAAUGUUGGUCCAGGUGGCCGCCUUCGCCACGGAUGUUCCUCCCGAUCUCUACGCAUUUCACUGCUACACCGGGAAUUCCGCCACCCUCUACCACAUUCUAGUCGCCCAGUAUCCAUCGCAAUUCCCAGGUUGAGCCCAGGGCUUUCACGACAGACUUAAACAACCACCUACGCACGCUUUACGCCCAGUAAUUCCGAGUAACGCUUGCACCCUUCGUAUUACCGCGGCUGCUGGCACGAAGUUAGCCGGUGCUUAUUCUUUGGGUACCGUCAUCCCUGCCAGGUAUUAACCAACAGGAUUUCUUUCCCAACAAAAGAGCUUUACAACCCGAGGGCCUUCUUCACUCACGCGGCAUGGCUGGAUCAGGCUUGCGCCCAUUGUCCAAUAUUCCCCACUGCAGCCUCCCGUAGG